Molecule: ribosomal RNA, 498 nt
Filed under: uncultured bacterium
Lineage: Bacteria
Description: partial 16S ribosomal RNA
Rfam family: Bacterial small subunit ribosomal RNA
Source: RNAcentral
AUUGAACGCUGGCGGCAUGCCUUACACAUGCAAGUCGAACGGUAACAGGUCUUCGGAUGCUGACGAGUGGCGAACGGGUGAGUAAUACAUCGGAACGUGCCUAGUAGUGGGGGAUAACUACUCGAAAGAGUGGCUAAUACCGCAUGAGAUCUACGGAUGAAAGCAGGGGAUCGCAAGACCUUGUGCUACUAGAGCGGCCGAUGGCAGAUUAGGGAGUUGGUGGGAUAAAAGCUUACCAAGCCGACGAUCUGUAGCUGGUCUGAGAGGACGAUCAGCCACACUGGGACUGAGACACGGCCCAGACUCCUACGGGAGGCAGCAGUGGGGAAUUUUGGACAAUGGGCGCAAGCCUGAUCCAGCAAUGCCGCGUGCAGGUUGAAGGCCUUCGGGUUGUAAACUGCUUUUGUACGGAACGAAAAGCCCCGGGUUAAUACCCUGGGGUCAUGACGGUACCGUAAGAAUAAGCACCGGCUAACUACGUGCCAGCAGCCGCCGUAA